RNAcentral lists this microRNA (21 nucleotides) under Lepisosteus oculatus (spotted gar). RNAcentral also lists the same sequence under 6 other names. Lineage: Eukaryota; Metazoa; Chordata; Actinopteri; Semionotiformes; Lepisosteidae. The record is from RNAcentral.
GCUAUUUCACAACACCAGGGU